AAUAUGAAUGCACAAUAAAAGUAUAAAAUAAGAUAAACAUGUUGUAUAAACACAAAAAGGGAAAGUAAAAAAGUGCACAUUGUUCAAAAUACAACAAUAGAUAUUUAACAAUGUGUGUAUUAUAUUAUAUGUAGUGGUGUGUUAGUAUACAAAAUAUACUUAGUUAAAAAAGAAUAUAUAUUAUAUAUUUUUUUUUAACUGUCUCAAACUUAAUUAACGGGAGGGCUAUCUCUGUAUAAGCUAUGCUUUCUGUCCUCCAGCUUCUAUUAAUUGUGUUUGUUUUUCGGAUGUAUAAACUGUCUAAUUGUUGAAAUAGUAGAAUACAUUUUUAAAAAAAACGUAAUUUACACCAGGAUAAAUUUAUAUUUUGACUCUUAUUCAAAAGAGAUUACAAAAAACACACAAUAGCCAAUUCAGAAUGAGGUACACCUAGGUGACGCAGUGUAAUCCACCACUUUUAAGAAUACCUCUUUAACUCAUGAGUUUGAGGGGAAACUGAUUUAGAGAAAUGUUGAUUUAAUUUUACGGUCAUUUAAAAAAUUAAGUUCUCGCUGCUGUUGAAUACAGCUUUUAAUAGCAGGCAUUUACACUUGUCAUAGAAGGGAAAGCAAGGGAGGAUCGAGGGAUACAAAAAAUCUAAUUUGGGUGCCAACUUUUUCUAAAUAAAGGACAGAGAAACAUUUCAAGAGAUUAUUCGUUACAUGGCAUUUUGUAUUCUCGUUAAUGUAUUUGAUCGUAAAAACAAGAUGAUUAACUCUUUCCUACCUCCACAAGUUUCUCACAGGCCGCUGUAACGUGGACAUCCGUCUCCCAUUUGUGGAACUCCCUCAUGAUAGGAUAAACGCUCUUCUUCUCGAAUAUGUCCCGGCCCGCUUUGGUCGCUGUCAGCUGUAAAAGAGAAGAACAGUGAAAAACCAAACAUAAAAACAUGAGUCUAUAUGUGCUGUUGUCUUUGUCGUGUUGUACCAGUAGAAGAGUCUCCAGCAGCAUCUUCCUGAUGUCGGGGUCUUCUUCUCUCUUCUUGUCCUCGGGGAGGUACUGCAGGUCCACAGGCAGACCUGAACAUCACAACACCUCUGUUAGAGUCAGUGAGUCGUCUCAAACUGUCUCACCUGCCUGCCCACUCAGCCCCGAGCCCAUUGGUGCAAACUGAACACACAACAUGCUCCUCUGGUCCGGCCAGCGGCAGCAUCAGGAAGGGCAGGAUGUCCACAUCGUCGCUUAGCAACCACUCAUGAUGGGCUGCACAGAUAAAGAAGAGGGCCAGAUGACAGAAAGCAAUGUUUAAUACAGAGCUGUUUAAAAAAUAAAUCCAAAAUGUUCCUGAAUA
Long non-coding RNA from Gymnodraco acuticeps, 1330 nucleotides. RefSeq lists it as uncharacterized. The record is from RefSeq and is a predicted model, not a curated record. Lineage: Eukaryota; Metazoa; Chordata; Actinopteri; Perciformes; Bathydraconidae. The transcript is spliced from 2 exons.